This 292-nucleotide ribosomal RNA is filed under the name uncultured bacterium. Its description in RNAcentral is "partial 16S ribosomal RNA". It matches the Rfam family "Bacterial small subunit ribosomal RNA", at positions 505 to 796 of the family's 1533-position model. The record is from RNAcentral.
GUGCCAGCCGCCGCGGUAAUACAGAGGGUGCAAGCGUUAAUCGGAAUUACUGGGCGUAAAGCGCGCGUAGGUGGUUUGUUAAGUCGGAUGUGAAAUCCCAGGGCUCAACCUUGGAAUGGCACCCGAUACUGGCAGGCUAGAGUACGGUAGAGGGGUGUGGAAUCUCCUGUGUAGCGGUGAAAUGCGUAGAUAUAGGAAGGAACAUCAGUGGCGAAGGCGACACCCUGGACUGAUACUGACACUGAGGUGCGAAAGCGUGGGGAGCAAACAGGAUUAGAUACCCGAGUAGUCC